RNAcentral lists this ribosomal RNA (337 nucleotides) under uncultured bacterium. Its description in RNAcentral is "bacterial SSU rRNA". It matches the Rfam family "Bacterial small subunit ribosomal RNA", at positions 173 to 507 of the family's 1533-position model. The record is from RNAcentral.
UGGCAUCAUGAGUUCACAUGUUCACAUGAUUAAAGGUAUUCCGGUAGACGAUGGGGGAUGCGUUCCAUUUAGAUAGUAGGCGGGGUAACGGCCCACCUAGUCUUCGAUGGAUAGGGGUUCUGAGAGGAAGGUCCCCCACAUUGGAACUGAGACACGGUCCAAACUCCUACGGGAGGCAGCAGUGAGGAAUAUUGGUCAAUGGGCGCAGGCCUGAACCAGCCAAGUAGCGUGAAGGAUGAAGGUCCUACGGAUUGUAAACUUCUUUUAUAAGGGAAUAAAGUGAGUCUCGUGAGACUUUUUGCAUGUACCUUAUGAAUAAGGACCGGCUAAUUCCGUG